RNAcentral lists this ribosomal RNA (429 nucleotides) under Actinomycetes bacterium. Its description in RNAcentral is "Actinobacteria bacterium partial 16S ribosomal RNA". It matches the Rfam family "Bacterial small subunit ribosomal RNA", at positions 355 to 776 of the family's 1533-position model. The record is from RNAcentral. Lineage: Bacteria; Bacillati; Actinomycetota; Actinomycetes.
UAGGGAAUCUUCCGCAAUGGGCGAAAGCCUGACGGACCAACGCCGCGUGAGUGAUGAAGGUCUUCGGAUCGUAAAACUCUGUUAUUAGGGAAGAACAAAUGUGUAAGUAACUAUGCACGUCUUGACGGUACCUAAUCAGAAAGCCACGGCUAACUACGUGCCAGCAGCCGCGGUAAUACGUAGGUGGCAAGCGUUAUCCGGCAUUAUUGGGCGUAAAGCGCGCGUAGGCGGUUUUUUAAGUCUGAUGGGAAAGCCCACGGCUCAACCGUGGAGGGUCAUUGGAAACUGGAAAACUUGAGGGCAGGAGAAGAAAGUGGAAUUCCAUGUGGAGCGGUGAAAUGCGCAGAGAUAUGGGGGAACACCAGGGGCGAAGGCGACUUUCUGGUCUGUAACUGACGCUGAUGUGCGAAAGCGUGGGGAUCAAACAGG